UCAGUCGGUCGGGCAGCCGCGCCUGUCAUGUGCCGAAAGGCGGCAGGUGAGGAAAGUCCGGGCUCCAAGGAAACACGAUGCCGGGUAACGCCCGGCGGGGCGACCCCAGGGAAAGUGCCACAGAAAGCAAACCGCCCCGUCUUCCGUACCGUUUCGGGUAAACGGCAGGGAUGACGGGGUAAGGGUGAAAGGGUGGGGUAAGAGCCCACCGCGCCGGCAGCAAUGCAGGCGGCACGGUAAACCCCAUCGGGAGCAAAACCGAAUAGGGACGGCGCGUCGGCUCGAAAGGGCAGGCAAUCGGUUUCCGGAUCAGCCGUCCGGGUGGGUUGCACGAGGCGGGUGGCGACAUCCGUCCCAGAUGAAUGGCUGCCGCGCCGGGCGCAAGCCCGGCCGUACAGAACCCGGCUUACAGACCGGCUGACAUU
Molecule: RNase P RNA, 425 nt
Filed under: Brucella abortus
Lineage: Bacteria; Pseudomonadati; Pseudomonadota; Alphaproteobacteria; Hyphomicrobiales; Brucellaceae
Description: RNase P RNA component class A
Rfam family: Bacterial RNase P class A
About the family: Ribonuclease P (RNase P) is a ubiquitous endoribonuclease, found in archaea, bacteria and eukarya as well as chloroplasts and mitochondria. Its best characterised activity is the generation of mature 5'-ends of tRNAs by cleaving the 5'-leader elements of precursor-tRNAs.
Source: RNAcentral